GAUAGUCAGCUAAAAAAGCUUUCGGGCCCAUACCCCGAACAUGAUGGUUAAAACCCAUCCCCCAUCA
RNAcentral lists this transfer RNA (67 nucleotides) under Rasbora paucisqualis. RNAcentral's name for it is "tRNA-Met". Lineage: Eukaryota; Metazoa; Chordata; Actinopteri; Cypriniformes; Danionidae. The record is from RNAcentral.